This 411-nucleotide ribosomal RNA is filed under the name uncultured bacterium. RNAcentral's name for it is "partial 16S ribosomal RNA". It matches the Rfam family "Bacterial small subunit ribosomal RNA", at positions 362 to 770 of the family's 1533-position model. The record is from RNAcentral.
UAUUGGUCAAUGGGCGUAAGCCUGAACCAGCCAAGUCGCGUGAGGGAUGAAGGAUCUAUGGUNUGUAAACCUCUUUUAUAAGGGANNCCNNNGNGUGACGUGUCCUGUUUUGUAUGUACCUUAUGAAUAANNNANGNCUAACUCCGUGCCAGCAGCCGCGGUAAUACGGAGGAUCCGAGCGUUAUCCGGAUUUAUUGGGUUUAAAGGGUGCGUAGGCGGCCUUUUAAGUCAGCGGUGAAAGUCUGUGGCUCAACCAUAGAAUUGCCGUUGAAACUGGGGGGCUUGAGUAUGUGUGAGGCAGGCGGAAUGCGUGGUGUAGCGGUGAAAUGCAUAGAUAUCACGCAGAACCCCGAUUGCGAAGGCAGCCUGCCAAGCCAUGACUGACGCUGAUGCACGAAAGCGUGGGGAUCG